This 53-nucleotide ribosomal RNA is filed under the name Chlorella sorokiniana. Its description in RNAcentral is "partial 28S ribosomal RNA". The record is from RNAcentral. Lineage: Eukaryota; Viridiplantae; Chlorophyta; Trebouxiophyceae; Chlorellales; Chlorellaceae.
UCGACCUGAGCUCAGGCAAGAUUACCCGCUGAACUUAAGCAUAUCAAUAAGCG